ACCGUCUAGACUCCAAAGACAGACUAGAGAGCCAGCCUUGAAGGUACAGACCAUCACCCACUCAAGCAUGCUCUGGGACAGACUUGAUGAGGAUGGCCCAUCUCCCCAGAGUUCUUCCUGGCUACAGUCCCAGGGCUACCCCUCCCCCAACUCGUCUCAUUGUUCCACACCUGGGUAAACAGCAGAUAAAGGUAAGUCAGCCUCUCCUGCAGACAGAACGCACCUCAGAGUCAAGAGUGACACAGAAAAUGCCCCUGAGCAGACUCCUGUCCUCUUACUUCAUAGACUGAUUGACGUGACUCGUACCAGACACUCAUCGCUUCCACUAGGGAUUCCAUGCGACACCAUGAAAACACUGUCUGGGUUGAGCAUGGUGGUGCAUGCUGAUAAUCUCAGCACUUGGGAGGCCGAGGCUAAAUUACCAGAUUUAGACUAAGCAUGGCUUCGGAGUGGGACCUGGCCUCAAAAUAAACAAAUAAAAUUCUGGUUCAUUCAUCUUGCCUUGAGAA
This 509-nucleotide long non-coding RNA is filed under the name Mus caroli (Ryukyu mouse). RNAcentral describes it as "lncRNA (MGP_CAROLIEiJ_G0002506.1)". The record is from RNAcentral. Lineage: Eukaryota; Metazoa; Chordata; Mammalia; Rodentia; Muridae.